GACGAACGCUGGCGGCGUGCUUAACACAUGCAAGUCGAACGGAAAGGCCCCUUUGGGGGUACUCGAGUGGCGCACGGGUGAGUAACACGUGAGUAACCUGCCCUUGACUUCGGGGUAACUUCAGGAAACUGGGGCUAAUACCGGAUAGGAAUCCUUGCUGCAUGGUGGGGGUUGGAAAGCUUCGGCGGUUUUGGAUGGACUCGCGGCUUAUCAGCUUGUUGGUGGGGUAGUGGCUUACCAAGGCUUUGACGGGUAGCCGGCCUGAGAGGGCGACCGGCCACAUUGGGACUGAGAUACGGCCCAGACUCCUACGGGAGGCAGCAGUGGGGAAUAUUGCACAAUGGGCGGAAGCCUGAUGCAGCAACGCCGCGUGCGGGAUGACGGCCUUCGGGUUGUAAACCGCUUUCAGCAGGGGCGAAGCUUGUGGUGACGGUACCUGCAGAAGAAGCACCGGCUAACUACGU
RNAcentral lists this ribosomal RNA (464 nucleotides) under uncultured bacterium. RNAcentral's name for it is "partial 16S ribosomal RNA". It matches the Rfam family "Bacterial small subunit ribosomal RNA", at positions 28 to 506 of the family's 1533-position model. The record is from RNAcentral.